AGGGAUAUAACUCAACGGUAGAGUGUUACCUUGACAUUGUGGAAGUCAUCAAUUUGAGCAUGAUUAUCCCUA
This 72-nucleotide transfer RNA is filed under the name Amborella trichopoda. It matches the Rfam family "tRNA". From Rfam's summary of the family: Transfer RNA (tRNA) molecules are approximately 80 nucleotides in length. Their secondary structure includes four short double-helical elements and three loops (D, anti-codon, and T loops). Lineage: Eukaryota; Viridiplantae; Streptophyta; Magnoliopsida; Amborellales; Amborellaceae. The record is from Rfam by way of RNAcentral.